Molecule: ribosomal RNA, 216 nt
Filed under: uncultured bacterium
Lineage: Bacteria
Description: partial 16S ribosomal RNA
Rfam family: Bacterial small subunit ribosomal RNA
Source: RNAcentral
CAACCUGCCUUUCUAGAGGGGGAUAACAAUUUGAAACAAAUGCUAAUACCGCAUAAGAUUACAGUACCGCAUGAUACAGUGAUCAAAGGAAGCAAUCCGCUGAAAGAUGGGCUCGCGUCCGAUUAGAUAGUUGGUGAGGUAACGGCUCACCAAGUCGACGAUCGGUAGCCGGACUGAGAGGUUGAACGGCCACAUUGGGACUGAGACACGGCCCAG